This 481-nucleotide ribosomal RNA is filed under the name uncultured bacterium. RNAcentral describes it as "partial 16S ribosomal RNA". It matches the Rfam family "Bacterial small subunit ribosomal RNA", at positions 28 to 507 of the family's 1533-position model. The record is from RNAcentral.
GAUGAACGCUGGCGGCGUGCUUUACACAUGCAAGUCGAACGAAGCACUUUCUUUGAUUUCUUUCGGGUCUGAUUAUUUUGUGACUUAGUGGCGGACGGGUGAGUAACGCGGGGGUAACCUGCCUUGUACAGGGGUAUUACCGCUGGAAACGGCUGCUAAUACCGCAUAAGCGCACAGCAUCCCCUCAUGCAGUGUGACAAACUCCGGUGGUAUAAGAUGGACGCGCGUUGGAUUAGCUAGUUGGUGAGGUAACGGCCCACCAAGGCGACGAUCCAUAGCCGACCAGAGAGGGUGACCGGCCACAUUGGGACUGGGACACGGCCCAAACUCCUGCGGGAGGCAGCAGAGGGGAAUAUUGCACAAUGGGCGAAAGCCAGAUGCAGCGACGGCGGGUAAGCGAAGAAGUAUGUCAGGAAGUGAAGCUCUAUCAGCAGGGAAGAUAAUGACGGUACCGGAAUAAGAAGCACCGGCUAAAUACGUG